AAGAUGGCGACCGGCGCACGGGUGAGUAACACGUAUCCAACCUGCCGAUAACUCCGGAAUAGCCUUUCGAAAGAAAGAUUAAUACCGGAUGGCAUACGAAUAUCGCAUGAUAUUUUUAUUUAAAGAAUUUCGGUUAUCGAUGGGGAUGCGUUCCAUUAGUUUGUUGGCGGGGUAACGGCCCACCAAGACUACGAUGGAUAGGGGUUCUGAGAGGAAGGUCCCCCACAUUGGAACUGAGACACGGUCCAGACUCCUACGGGAGGCAGCAUG
This 270-nucleotide ribosomal RNA is filed under the name uncultured bacterium. RNAcentral's name for it is "partial 16S ribosomal RNA". It matches the Rfam family "Bacterial small subunit ribosomal RNA", at positions 85 to 353 of the family's 1533-position model. The record is from RNAcentral.